UCAACCUCCCUUCAGAGGGGGACAACAGUUGGAAACGACUGUUAAUACCGCAUACGAUCUAACCUCGGCAUCGAGGAAAGAUGAAAGGUGGCCUCUACAUGUAAGCUAUCACUGAAGGAGGGGAUUGCGUUGAUUAGCUAGUUGGAGGGGUAACGGCCCACCAAGGCGAUGAUCAGUAGCCGGUUGAGAGGAUGAACGGCCACAUUGGGAUUGAGACACGGCCCAGACUCCUACGGGAGGCAGCAGUGGGGAAUCUUCCGCAAUGGACGAAAGUCUGACGGAGCAACGCCGCGUGAGUGAUGACGGCCUUCGGGUUGUAAAGCUCUGUUAAUCGGGACGAAAGGCCUUCUUGCGAAUAGUGAGAAGGAUUGACGUACCGGAAUAGAAAAGCC
This 392-nucleotide ribosomal RNA is filed under the name Veillonella parvula. RNAcentral's name for it is "bacterial SSU rRNA". It matches the Rfam family "Bacterial small subunit ribosomal RNA", at positions 121 to 493 of the family's 1533-position model. The record is from RNAcentral. Lineage: Bacteria; Bacillati; Bacillota; Negativicutes; Veillonellales; Veillonellaceae.